RNAcentral lists this ribosomal RNA (914 nucleotides) under uncultured marine archaeon. RNAcentral's name for it is "bacterial SSU rRNA". It matches the Rfam family "Archaeal small subunit ribosomal RNA", at positions 1 to 922 of the family's 1478-position model. The record is from RNAcentral.
UUCCGGUUGAUCCUGCCGGACCUGACUGCUAUCGGAUUGAUACUAAGCCAUGCUAGUCUUUGCAGUAAUGCAAGGCAUACGGCUCAGUAACACGUAGUCAACUUACCCUAUGGACGAGGAUAAUCUCGGGAAACUGAGCAUAAUACUCGAUAGAUCAUAAUGCCUGGAAUGGUUUAUGGUUAAAAUGAUUCGUCGCCAUAGGAUGGGACUGCGGCCUAUCAGCUUGUUGGUGAGGUAAUGGCCCACCAAGGCGAUUACAGGUACGGGCUCUGAGAGGAGAAGCCCGGAGAUGGGUACUGAGACAAGGACCCAGGCCCUAUGGGGCGCAGCAGGCGAGAAAACUUUGCAAUGUGCGAAAGCACGACAAGGUUAAUCCGAGUGAUUUCUGCUAAAGAAAUCUUUUGCAAGUCAUAAAACCACUAGUGAAUAAGGGGUGGGCAAGUUCUGGUGUCAGCCGCCGCGGUAAAACCAGCACCUCAAGUGGUCAGGAGGAUUAUUGGGCCUAAAGCAUCCGUAGCCGGCUCUGUAAGUUUUCGGUUAAAUCCAUGUGCUCAACGCAUGGGCUGCCGAAAAUACUGCAUAGCUAGGGAGUGGGAGAGGUAGACGGUACUCGGUAGGAAGGGGUAAAAUCCUUUGAUCUAUCGAUGACCACCUGUGGCGAAGGCGGUCUACCAGAACACGUUCGACGGUGAGGGAUGAAAGCUGGGGGAGCAAACCGGAUUAGAUACCCGGGUAGUCCCAGCUGUAAACGAUGCAGACUCGAUGAUGCAUUGGCAUAUAGCCAGUGCAGUGUCGCAGGGAAGCCGUUAAGUCUGCCGCCUGGGAAGUACGUACGCAAGUAUGAAACUUAAAGGAAUUGGCGGGGGAGCACCACAAGGGGUGAAGCCUGCGGUUCAAUUGGAUUCAACGCCGGG